GACGAACGCUGGCGGCGUGCCUAAUACAUGCAAGUCGAACGCAGUGGGGACGGGUGAGUAACACGUGGGUAACCUCCCAUCAGAGGGGAUAACACUUGGAAACAGGUGCUAAACCGAUACUGAUGGAUGGACCCGCGGUGCAUUAGCUAGUGGGUGAGGUAACGGCUCACCAAGGCCACGAUGCAUAGACGACCUGAGAGGGUGAUCGGCAACACUGGGACGGAGACACGGCCCAGAAGCCUAGGGGAGGCAGCAGUAGGGAAGAUUGGGAAAUGGACGAAAGUCGGACCGAGAAACGCGGCGGGAGUGAAGAAGGUUUUCGGAUCGUAAAACACUGUUGUUAGAGAAGCGGUAUCUAACCAGAAAGCCACGGCUAACUACGUGCCAGCCGCCGCGGUAAUUC
This 403-nucleotide ribosomal RNA is filed under the name uncultured bacterium. Its description in RNAcentral is "partial 16S ribosomal RNA". It matches the Rfam family "Bacterial small subunit ribosomal RNA", at positions 28 to 526 of the family's 1533-position model. The record is from RNAcentral.